GAUGAACGCUGGCGGCGUGCCUAAUACAUGCAAGUCGAGCGAACGGACGAGAAGCUUGCUUUUCUGAUGUUAGCGGCGGACGGGUGAGUAACACGUGGAUAACCUACCUAUAAGACUGGGAUAACUUCGGGAAACCGGAGCUAAUACCGGAUAAUAUUUUGAACCUCAUGGUUCAAAAGUGAAAGACGGUCUUUCUUUCACUUAUAGAUGGAUCCGCGCUGCAUUAGCUAGUUGGUAAGGUAACGGCUUACCAAGGCAACGAUGCAUAGCCGACCUGAGAGGGUGAUCGGCCACACUGGAACUGAGACACGGUCCAGACUCCUACGGGAGGCAGCAGUAGGGAAUCUUCCGCAAUGGGCGAAAGCCUGACGGAGCAACGCCGCGUGAGUGAUGAAGGUCUUCGGAUCGUAAAACUCUGUUAUUAGGGAAGAACAUAUGUGUAAGUAACUGUGCACAUCUUGACGGUACCUAAUCAGAAAGCCACGGCUAACUACGUG
This 497-nucleotide ribosomal RNA is filed under the name uncultured bacterium. Its description in RNAcentral is "partial 16S ribosomal RNA". It matches the Rfam family "Bacterial small subunit ribosomal RNA", at positions 28 to 507 of the family's 1533-position model. The record is from RNAcentral.